RNAcentral lists this non-coding RNA (61 nucleotides) under Schistosoma mansoni. Lineage: Eukaryota; Metazoa; Platyhelminthes; Trematoda; Strigeidida; Schistosomatidae. The record is from RNAcentral.
AAAGGAACUCCGCCAGUAGAUUUACUGCCGGUCCCAAGCCCGGGUAAAGAAGGAGGGUUGU